This 253-nucleotide ribosomal RNA is filed under the name uncultured bacterium. Its description in RNAcentral is "partial 16S ribosomal RNA". It matches the Rfam family "Bacterial small subunit ribosomal RNA", at positions 524 to 776 of the family's 1533-position model. The record is from RNAcentral.
UACAGAGGGGGCGAGCGUUAUUCGGAAUUAUUGGGCGUAAAGGGCGCGUAGGCGGUUCGAUAAGUCCCGUGUGAAAUCCCUCGGCUCAACUGAGGAAUGGCACGGGAAACUGUCGGGCUAGAGUCCGGAAGAGGCGAGUGGAAUUCCCGGUGUAGCGGUGAAAUGCGCAGAUAUCGGGAGGAACACCAAUGGCGAAGGCAGCUCGCUGGGACGGUACUGACGCUGAGACGCGAAAGCGUGGGGAGCAAACAGG